This 31-nucleotide non-coding RNA is filed under the name Mus musculus (house mouse). Lineage: Eukaryota; Metazoa; Chordata; Mammalia; Rodentia; Muridae. The record is from RNAcentral.
UGGGAGAACUAAAAAAGAAAGGUGCUGGGCC